Molecule: transfer RNA, 73 nt
Filed under: Echinops telfairi (small Madagascar hedgehog)
Lineage: Eukaryota; Metazoa; Chordata; Mammalia; Afrosoricida; Tenrecidae
Description: tRNA-Lys (CTT) (tRNA-Lys-CTT-6-1)
Rfam family: tRNA
About the family: Transfer RNA (tRNA) molecules are approximately 80 nucleotides in length. Their secondary structure includes four short double-helical elements and three loops (D, anti-codon, and T loops).
Source: RNAcentral
GCCCGGCUAGCUCAGUUAGUAGAGCAUGAGACUCUUAAUCUCAGGGUCGUGGGAUCAUACCCCACGUUGGGCG